This is a long non-coding RNA of Brachypodium distachyon (stiff brome), 625 nucleotides long. RefSeq lists it as uncharacterized. The transcript has 3 exons. The record is from RefSeq and is a predicted model, not a curated record. NCBI's taxonomy places the organism in Eukaryota, Viridiplantae, Streptophyta, Magnoliopsida, Poales, Poaceae.
GCCAGCUUUGCUCCCUAGCAUCCGAGAGAGAAAAAGCUCCUCCCAAACCCCAACCCAACGCCAAAACCCUAACGCAGCAUCGUCCACGGCGGCGGCGGGCAGCAGCGGCGGCAGAGGGCGCUUCAGAACUUCGAGCAGCAAAGACGAUCGUCAAUUCGGAGGAGGACAAGGAGUUUUAUUCUGAUCUGCAACCUGUCACUGGUUUUUCGGACGUUAUGGAAAAAGGUCAGCCUUUGAUACUGAACAUGGACGACAUAAAUCAGGAUUACGACUCAAAUGAAGAGCAAGAGCUGGAAAAGGACUGGCCUGACGAAGAGGGCUGGUAUAAACCAUGCUGGAUGUGUCCGCGAUACUUUUUUCUUCGCUGGUGGUUACGAUAUAGAUAUGGUUAGGGCAUCUGCCUGUACCAGUCUCCGCCGAUCAAGUGAAACAGUGACCACAUCACGGCAAUACACUUAUUGAACGGUCCUCUACCGGUACAACUUAACGAAUACGCGACAUGAUUAUCGUAUCGGAACAGACUUGCGCUGCUUUUGGCACUAUGGAUUUUCACAAUUCUGUUUGUUUGAUGAGUUUUGCCUAUUUAAGUAUUUAUUGGUCAUUGUUUGGCUAAUCAAUUUAUUCC